RNAcentral lists this transfer RNA (70 nucleotides) under Styela plicata. RNAcentral's name for it is "transfer RNA-Ala". Lineage: Eukaryota; Metazoa; Chordata; Ascidiacea; Stolidobranchia; Styelidae. The record is from RNAcentral.
AAGUUUUUAGUUUAAUAUUAUAUAAAACGUCAUAUUUGCAUUGUGAAGAUUAGUCUUUUUUAAAAACUUA